This 394-nucleotide unclassified non-coding RNA is filed under the name Hevea brasiliensis (rubber tree). Lineage: Eukaryota; Viridiplantae; Streptophyta; Magnoliopsida; Malpighiales; Euphorbiaceae. The record is from RNAcentral.
CCCGACGCGAAUGCCCCCGCCAGUGACGCGAGACGGGGCAAAAGGACCAAUGAUGAAGGAGAUGGAGACCCAAAAGAGGAGAGAUUUGAAGGGUUCAGUUUGGAUAUAAAGAACAGAAAGAAGCAAUAGAAGGGAAGAGAAGGAAACUGUAAUGAAGAUAAGGGGUUUGUUAAUGGGGUUUUGUUGGGUUUCCUGAUCGGUGAGUGAAGAAGGAAUUGGGCGAGACUGGAAGAAGAAUCUGGGUCUUGCGUCCUCAUCCAGGAACUCCAUGGUUGGUUGCUCACAGUGGGAGAGGAUAUAGAGACCCCGAAAGGAAAGUGACUAAAAUUUUGUUAUUUUCCUUUUAAAGGUACAUGCUUUGACUCUUACGCGGCCCUCGACAAAAUUUUACUUC